CUGGUUCGAACCAUGAGCUGUUGGCUACGGUAAACGUACUCAUACUUGCUUGUUCGCUGCUUCUGCACCGUCGCCGUGCACGGAAUGCACGGAAGCGCCGAUUUUGCGUGCGACCCAUGUUUCGCCGUCGAGAGCAAGAAGGGCAGGCGCGCCUAUUGCUGCCACGGCUGCGGGCGGAAGACGAGGCCUACUUCCGCGAAUUCACAUAUGUUGAUCUUUGCCACUAUGGUGCUGAAGGGGAUUCUGGUAUAUUUUUGCGGUCAGAUUUGCUCAAAGCCCUCAGCGAAGACUUUUGUGGUGUUCCAUCCCCCACCACUCUCGGGUCGGCAGGUGUCAUUCCCUAUGUGAUAGUAGGGGAUGAAGCCUUCCCUUUGAAAACAUUCCUCAUGCGUCCCUAUGCCCGUCGUGAACUGCAGAAGCACAGGUUAAGCCCAUCUGGACCUGAGGACUACCAGCAGAGAGCAACUUUCAACAACCGUUUAAGCCGGGCUCGCCGGGUCAUUGAAAAUUUGUUUCGCAUAAUGGCUGCAAGAUGGCGAAUAUUAAGGAGGCCCUUUAGGGCAUCAGAGGAAACAACAGAAAAUAUUUGCAAGGCAUGUGUUGUGCUACAUAACUUCAUGAUGUCGGAGAGCGCAUUAGCACGAUCUGCCUACAGCCCACCUGGCUAUGCCGACAGUGAGGACUGGCAAGAAAACGAAACUCCAGGCUUAUGGAGGACAGACGGCAAUGACCUUCCAGCAAUGAGAGGGAUAAGUAGACAAGGUUCUGCUAGGUAAAUAUGGAAAGCCUGCGUCAACCAACAUUUUUAUGCAGUGUAUGUUGAGCUGCUACGAUGUUGUUUGCAGGUCUGCUAUGGAUGUGCGCGACAGACUGGCACAAUAUUUUGUCACGGAAGGCAAAGUUCCAUGGCAAGGUAGGAUUGUCAACCGUGCAGGACGGAAGGUAAAACAAGCAGGAUAAUGCUGCAUCGGCUCUAAAAUAUGUUCUUUAAAAUGAAU
Non-coding RNA from Dermacentor albipictus, 998 nucleotides. NCBI's taxonomy places the organism in Eukaryota, Metazoa, Arthropoda, Arachnida, Ixodida, Ixodidae. The record is from RefSeq and is a predicted model, not a curated record.